GGGUGAUUAGCUCAGCUGGGAGAGCACCUCCCUUACAAGGAGGGGGU
This 47-nucleotide transfer RNA is filed under the name Cronobacter sakazakii. RNAcentral's name for it is "tRNA-Val". It matches the Rfam family "tRNA", at positions 1 to 46 of the family's 71-position model. From Rfam's summary of the family: Transfer RNA (tRNA) molecules are approximately 80 nucleotides in length. The record is from RNAcentral. RNAcentral also lists the same sequence under 1 other name. Lineage: Bacteria; Pseudomonadati; Pseudomonadota; Gammaproteobacteria; Enterobacterales; Enterobacteriaceae.